ACUAGAGUAGCACUCGCAUAUCAAUAAGCGGAGGAAAAGAAACUAACAAGGAUUCCCCUAGUAACGGCGAGUGAAGCGGGAAGAGCUCAAAUUUGAAAUCUUAAAGGGUUUCCCUUUACGAAUUGUAGUUUAAAGAAGUGUUUUCUGUUGAGGUUUUGGUAAAAGUUCUUUGGAAUAGGACAUCAUAGAGGGUGAGAAUCCCGUAUUUGACCUUUACUUUCAACUUUGUGAUACACUUUCAAAGAGUCGGAUUGUUUGGGAAUGCAGUCCAAAAUGGGUGGUAAAUUUCAUCUAAAGCUAAAUAUUGGCGAGAGACCGAUAGCGAACAAGUACCGUGAGGGAAAGACGAAAAGAACUUUGAAAAGAGAGUUAAACAGUACGUGAAAUUGUCAAAAGGGAAGCGUUUGACACCAGUGUUGUUUUUCUGAAAAUCAAUUAAAGAACUGUUUAUGCUAAGUUGUUUAGACUUUAUCAGCUAACUGUUUAGUUUUGAGCUUUUCUUUAAUGCACUUUUCAGUUAACAAGUCAACAUCAAUUUCUUUUGCUGUAAAAAAGCUUGAGGAAGGUGGCUUGAGAUUCGUCUUAAGUGUUUAUAGCCUCUUGCCUAUGCAGUCGGAGAGAUUGAGGUCUGCAGCGUAGAUCCUUCGGGGCUAAAUGCAUUUGUGCUAAGUUAUAGCAUUUUAUAGACAACUUGUUGACUAUGAUUUGUCUUGUAGCUUACUCGCUUAUGUUAUUUUACCUACGCUUAGGAUGUUGAGCGCAUGUCUCUCUCU
RNAcentral lists this ribosomal RNA (773 nucleotides) under uncultured Neocallimastigales. RNAcentral's name for it is "partial large subunit ribosomal RNA". It matches the Rfam family "Eukaryotic large subunit ribosomal RNA", at positions 20 to 616 of the family's 3401-position model. Lineage: Eukaryota; Fungi; Neocallimastigomycota; Neocallimastigomycetes; Neocallimastigales. The record is from RNAcentral.